RNAcentral lists this ribosomal RNA (110 nucleotides) under uncultured eukaryote. RNAcentral's name for it is "partial small subunit ribosomal RNA". It matches the Rfam family "Eukaryotic small subunit ribosomal RNA", at positions 1676 to 1785 of the family's 1831-position model. The record is from RNAcentral.
UCGCUCCUACCGAUUGAAUGAUCCGGUGAAAUCUUUGGACUGUCGUUGCAGUGAGGCGACUCACCGCGUCUUCGGGAAGUUGAUUAAACCUUAUCAUUUAGAGGAAGGAG